UCUUGCCCAAAGUUUCCCAGCUGGUGAGUGAUGGAGCAAGUGUUCGAAUCCAGGGAGUGUGACCCCAGAGCCCAUGUGUUUACCUUCUGCUUCUGAGUCAACUGAGCAGUAACUUCAAGGAGACCCACCUUCUGGGUCAUGAAGCUGGGGAGAGCGAGUGAAAAAGAGAGGAGGAAGGAUGGUCUGGCCCGGAAGAGAGGCCUUAUGGACAGACGGGGAGGUCAGUGAGGAAACUGGAAGCCAAUGAAAGUUUUAAGUUAUCUUCAAAUACUUAAAGAGCUGUCCUGAGGAAGAUGGUUCAAGAUUUACUGCAAUCAAAAAACAUCUUGGCUACCUCUAAGAAAAUGACUCCGGUGCCCGUACAUGCUUUGAGAUGGGAGAAGAGCAUCAAGGGGUCCCAAUCAACAGACCAGAUGUGAGAGGAAGAGCCUGGACUGGGGAGGAUGGCAGUGAGGAAAUAAAGGAGCAAAUCCAAGAGACAUUUUUUUAAAAGCACAGGACUUGAAUGAGUUUGGAAGCAUCAGAGAGACUCUGAGGUGUCUUGUGCCUGCUGGGACGGAAAUGAGACAGUCACCAAAGGAAGCCCAUGGUGGGAAGGAGAGGAUGAAUGCAUGGGGCAUCUUAAAGAGUCUUUACACACUACAUCCUUCAUGGUGGUUACCUCUGCAGGGCCUGCCUCCGGCCUUUAAAGGCCCAAACAUCAUCAGACAUCCAUCUUUGAAGCAAGAUUGCAGUGCUGGGCUUGGAAAGACUGACCCUGGGAUUUUUAUAGCUGAAAUCAGCCCAGCCCAGCUCAGCCCAUGAACUAAACUACAGGCAGCAGGACAGAAGAUGGAAGAACACAGGCUGCAGUCAGAGGCCUCUGUGUCCAAAGGCCAGCUCUGCCACAAGUGACC
RNAcentral lists this long non-coding RNA (896 nucleotides) under Equus caballus (horse). RNAcentral describes it as "lncRNA (ENSECAG00000043787.2)". Lineage: Eukaryota; Metazoa; Chordata; Mammalia; Perissodactyla; Equidae. The record is from RNAcentral.